Molecule: ribosomal RNA, 483 nt
Filed under: uncultured bacterium
Lineage: Bacteria
Description: partial 16S ribosomal RNA
Rfam family: Bacterial small subunit ribosomal RNA
Source: RNAcentral
AUUGAACGCUGGCGGCAGGCCUAACACAUGCAAGUCGAGCGGAUGAAGGGAGCUUGCUCCUGGAUUCAGCGGCGGACGGGUGAGUAAUGCCUAGGAAUCUGCCUGGUAGUGGGGGAUAACGUCCGGAAACGGGCGCUAAUACCGCAUACGUCCUGAGGGAGAAAGUGGGGGAUCUUCGGACCUCACGCUAUCAGAUGAGCCUAGGUCGGAUUAGCUAGUUGGUGGGGUAAAGGCCUACCAAGGCGACGAUCCGUAACUGGUCUGAGAGGAUGAUCAGUCACACUGGAACUGAGACACGGUCCAGCCUCCUACGGGAGGCAGCAGUGGGGAAUAUUGGACAAUGGGCGAAAGCCUGAUCCAGCCAUGCCGCGUGUGUGAAGAAGGUCUUCGGAUUGUAAAGCACUUUAAGUUGGGAGGAAGGGCAGUAAGUUAAUACCUUGCUGUUUUGACGUUGCCAACAGAAUAAGCACCGGCUAACUUCGU